GUGGGGAAUUUUGGACAAUGGGCGCAAGCCUGAUCCAGCCAUGCCGCGUGCAGGAUGAAGGCCUUCGGGUUGUAAACUGCUUUUGUACGGAACGAAACGGCUCUUUCUAAUAAAGAGGGCUAAUGACGGUACCGUAAGAAUAAGCACCGGCUAACUACGUGCCAGCAGCCGCGGUAAUACGUAGGGUGCGAGCGUUAAUCGGAAUUACUGGGCGUAAAGCGUGCGCAGGCGGUGAUGUAAGACAGAUGUGAAAUCCCCGGGCUCAACCUGGGAACUGCAUUUGUGACUGCAUCGCUGGAGUGCGGCAGAGGGGGAUGGAAUUCCGCGUGUAGCAGUGAAAUGCGUAGAUAUGCGGAGGAACACCGAUGGCGAAGGCAAUCCCCUGGGCCUGCACUGACGCUCAUGCACGAAAGCGUGGGGAGCAAACAGGAUUAGAAACCCGGGUAGUCC
Molecule: ribosomal RNA, 450 nt
Filed under: uncultured bacterium
Lineage: Bacteria
Description: partial 16S ribosomal RNA
Rfam family: Bacterial small subunit ribosomal RNA
Source: RNAcentral